This 220-nucleotide ribosomal RNA is filed under the name Parvimonas micra. RNAcentral describes it as "partial 16S ribosomal RNA". It matches the Rfam family "Bacterial small subunit ribosomal RNA", at positions 1275 to 1494 of the family's 1533-position model. Lineage: Bacteria; Bacillati; Bacillota; Tissierellia; Tissierellales; Peptoniphilaceae. The record is from RNAcentral.
CUAAAAACCAAUCUCAGUUCGGAUUGUAGGCUGCAACUCGCCUACAUGAAGUCGGAGUUGCUAGUAAUCGCGAAUCAGAAUGUCGCGGUGAAUGCGUUCCCGGGUCUUGUACACACCGCCCGUCACACCAUGGGAGUUGGCAAUACCCGAAGCCGCCGAUCUAACCGCAAGGAGGAAGGCGUCGAAGGUAGGGUUAAUGACUGGGGUGAAGUCGUAACAA